GACGAAGGGCGCGAGCGUUGUCCGGAUUUAUUGGGCGUAAAGAGCUCGUAGGCGGCUUGUUGCGUCAGCUGUGAAAACCCGCAGCUCAACUGUGGGCUUGCAGCUGAUACGGGCAGGCUUGAGUUCGGUAGGGGAGACUGGAAUUCCUGGUGUAGCGGUGAAAUGCGCAGAUAUCAGGAGGAACACCGGUGGCGAAGGCGGCAUCCUGGACCGGCAUUGACGCUGAGGCGCGAAAGCUAGGGGAGCAAACGGG
RNAcentral lists this ribosomal RNA (253 nucleotides) under uncultured bacterium. RNAcentral's name for it is "partial 16S ribosomal RNA". It matches the Rfam family "Bacterial small subunit ribosomal RNA", at positions 524 to 776 of the family's 1533-position model. The record is from RNAcentral.